Molecule: ribosomal RNA, 453 nt
Filed under: Clostridioides difficile
Lineage: Bacteria; Bacillati; Bacillota; Clostridia; Peptostreptococcales; Peptostreptococcaceae
Description: partial 23S ribosomal RNA
Rfam family: Bacterial large subunit ribosomal RNA
Source: RNAcentral
CAGUUUUGGCGGAGCCAUCCUUGGGAUACCACCCUUGUAGGACUGGGACUAAAACCAUAGGCCAUGAAUCUGGUCUUGGGACACUGUCAGGUGGGCAGUUUGACUGGGGCGGUCGCCUCCCAAAAGGUAACGGAGGCGCUCAAAGGUUCUCUCAGUACGGUCGGAAAGCGUACGUAGAGUGUAAAGGCAAAAGAGAGCUUGAUUGCAAGACAUACAGGUCGAGCAAGGAUGAAAAUCGGACUUAGUGAUCCGGUGGUUCUGCGUGGAAGGGCCAUCGCUCAACGGAUAAAAGCUACCCUGGGGAUAACAGGCUUAUCUCCCCCAAGAGUCCACAUCGACGGGGAGGUUUGGCACCUCGAUGUCGGCUCAUCACAUCCUGGGGCUGUAGUAGGUCCCAAGGGUUGGGCUGUUCGCCCAUUAAAGUGGUACGCGAGCUGGGUUCAGAACGUCGUG